Molecule: long non-coding RNA, 18994 nt
Filed under: Capsicum annuum
Lineage: Eukaryota; Viridiplantae; Streptophyta; Magnoliopsida; Solanales; Solanaceae
Description: long non-coding RNA (CANN_LNC005359)
Source: RNAcentral
GAACCCUCGAAGGCUCAAAAGAAGCUUGGAAUUUCUUAAUAGGAAACCCACAUUAUUCUAGGUCCUUAAAAUUAUUUUGAGGAACCAGAAUUCUAGCUUAAUUUUGUUCGAGGUGGAAGUCAAGCUUUCCAACUCAUCAUCCUGGUUCACUGUCCCAAAAAAGGUAAAAACUAUCUUUGAUUUAGUUCGUCGCCUUUUUCUUCUUCAUCCUAUUUUCUUCUUUGUAUCAUUCAUAAUCAUAAUAAUGAUGGGAUUAUUUCUUCUAGAAAUCUUUGAAAGUCAAAGAUUUAUGUUCUGGCGAAAAUGAAAUGGUUGAAUUGAUUCAUGGAUUUUAUUGUUAUUAUCAAGAUUUCUUUAUGAAUUUUUUUAUUCCAAUUAUAGUCUACAGUUUGUCUUUCGGAGUUAGUGUAAUAGUGGAUAUGUUUUAUUUGAGCUUGGGAGCAACUGUUAAUUGCAUUAUGUGAAAAGUUUUAAAUUUUAGAAAUUAUUUGUGUGGAUUUGAAGUUGGUGCCUCGCCGAACAUGAAAAAGAAUCUAUCAAACUAAUGAUUCUGUCCUCAUAAACUGCACAACUUAUCCAUGUCGUUAUAUGAUAUUUCUUUUCAUUUUUUUAAUUAGUUAUGAUUAGAUAAUUCAUGAAGUAAUUGAUGUUUCCCUACUCAACUAGCUCAAUGUUGAUGUUUUGAUAUUGUGAAAAAUAUUUUGAUUUUAUUUUAUUGUCUAAGGUUAAAUGAUGAAACCUUUCCUGCCUGGUGAGAUUUAGGAGUAUUUGAAAUUGGUUAGUAGACAUGUCACUAUAUUUCUCUUGAUGAAAUUGGUUAGUAGACUUGUCGUUAUAUUUUGCUUAAUAUAUUUAUAAGAGGAAAUAGCUUUGUAGAUCGAUUAAUAUUGUGAUUCACUCACUUUUCUAAAAGCUAAGAAAUUUUCAAAGAUUUUCUUGGCUUACGCCAAGGAGGGGAUUAAGUGUUUUUCUAGUUCGUAUUAAGUUUUGUUCUUGUUGUUAAUUUUAGCCUAAAGCUGGGAAGACCAUAAUCUAUGUUCAUAGUAAAAGUGAUCUUUAGCUUUUGUAUUGAUUGGAACACUUGGUUAAUCUUCUCCUUGGAUAUAAUCAAAUGGAUUUUAAUAAUUCUCCCGGAAUAUGCAGAGAAUCAUCAGUCUUUUCUGUAUGUUUUUUUUAUUUCUUCAUUUCUUCAUCCUUCCAUAUGGCUAAGUUGUGAAUUUAUUCAUAUAAUAAUUAUGAUUAGUAAAUAUUCACCUCCUCUUAAAAACUUUAAUAUAAUUCUAAAAGAUAAUUGUUGUUAUUAAUUGUAUUAGAACUCGUGAUAAUGGUGGGGACUGAUCCUUAUUCUUCUCUUUUCUAUUUUUUUGCAUGAAUUGGAGUCCACAUGGACUCCUUUCCCUCUUGCAUCUCUUUGAGUUCAAGCCUCAAUCAAAGUUCAAAAAAUACUUAUUUUUAAAUAAAUAAGGUUGUAUACAAAGGAAUACAGUAAAUAUACGUAGCAUAUAGGUGAUAUACUAGAAAAGGAAUGCUAAUAUUCAGUUCGAGGAAUCAAAGGAUGUGUAUAUAACUGAUUUUCAGUCAUAUCUACAUAAAUUAUACCCAAUAACACAAGGAUAAAGGGAGCUAAUAUACUGUGGAUAUACAACUCAAAAAAGGCUAAAAAAUGGUCCAUUAAAAUGGGCCCAAAGCUGGAUAGAAUUGAAAAUUGGCUAAAAAGGGGCCCAAUUCUCAUCUUUUUGCAUUAUUUACUUGUAUUUAAUUAAUUAUUUAUUUGUAAUUUAAUUUAAUCUAGAUGAAUCCUCGGGGAGUAAGUUUAUAUUAAAUUAUUUCAUCUUAUUUUGAUCAUACUAUAUUGUAAUUCGCUCUAUUAGGCAAACUUAAGCUCGUAGACAUUUAAGAAGUUGGGUUAAUCAUUUAGCCCAAAUUCUUAAUUCGGAUCAAUGUGUUAAAGUUAGAAAUAUUUUGAAACCUUGAUGUUUUAUUUUAUCACUUAGUAAAUUAAAUAAAUUAGUAUCCAAUAAAUUCUAUAUAUUCAAAAUAAGGGUUUUAAAAAAAAAUUCAAGAUUUUAAUAGGAUUUUUUCAAAUAACUUAAGAACUUUUUUCAAAAUUAGUCAAAUAAGUUUAAUCCGUCGGGAACCACACAUUGUAAAUUUUCGAAAGUGUCAAAUACCUUCUUUGAAAUUUACUUGAAACCUUACCUAGACUCUGAUUAUUUUUAAAAGGUUCUCUUUAAAACUAUUUUUUUAAAUGAUUUCUUAAUUCCUAAAAUUAAGUGGAGACUCUAAAUUAUUUUUCAAAAUUAAAUCAAAUAGAUUAACCUUUCUUUUUUUUUUUUUGCCACGAAGUUAUGAAACGUUUUUGACUAGUUUCGAAAAUAAAUCGUAAUAGUUUGUCGCUAAUAUAAUGCCAUAUCUAUAUUCCUUUAUGUCAUAUUAUUGUUCUCCAUAGAUACACACGGUUGGUUUUCCAGUGUUAAAAUUGGAGGGGGCUGAUAUUUUUUAGCUAAAUUUGAUGAUUGGUUGCCAUAAGUGUCUUAGGUUUCUCCUGGUUAAGAAUCGUGUGUUGUUUAGUUAUGUUUUAUUUCCUAAGGACAUGCAGAUAUUCUAAGUUAAGGUUUUGAUGUGCUAUGAUUUCAUAGCACUUUCGACGCUUAAAACUUCAAAAAUAUGUAGUUACUUAGGUUAUUUUAUUAGAUAUGAUGUGUUUUGUGUUAGGUUUUUAGGAAAUCAGGUUUUGAGAGCUAAACAAAAGAAAAUAAAAAGUGAAUAUUGAAGUUUUGGACCACAUACGUGGGCACCUACGAACCAUAGAUACUAUCUACAUGGCGUAGGAGCCAGAACAAGAAUCAAGAAUUUGAUUUUCAGAGAUUCAAAAGUUGAGAUUUUUGCCCUACUACCUACGAUGGGGUACCUAUGACCUGUAGGUACCACCUAUGGCCUGUAGGUGCCAGAAUAAGUGCUAGUAUUGAAGAUUCAUAGAGAUCCUACAAAAAUUUAGGAGGCAGUCACCUACAUGGAGCCACCUACGGACUGUAGGUGCAACCUACGACUCAUAAGUAGCACCGUAGGUGGCGACCGACUCUAGUUUAUCACUUUUGUUUUGGAAAGGUUUCCAAGGUUUUCCAUGCAAUUUAUUACUUAGUUUACAUACUUAUACUAUUCAUAAGUUAUUUUGAUUCCGAGAUUGGGUUUUGAUCUUGGGAUUCUUGUAUUCUAAGUUUUUGGUUGAUUUAUUGAUUUGGGACUUUAAGUUUUCUUUAUCUAUAAUUGUGAGAUUAUUUCUAUGAUUUCAUUUAUGAAUUUCAUGGAUUGUUCCACAACUAUGAGCGGCCAAUUCCCUUACCUAGGCCUUUUGGAACCUGGCUAUAUAACAAAGUAAAGGAAGUGCAACGUUGUCCCAAACCAAUAUUCUUGCAUGUAUUGUGAUCAUCUUCAGUUUAAUUUCUUUCUCAAUGGUUGUAAACAUUAAGAACCCGCCUGUAUUCACUACUUACUUUAAAAGAGAGGUAGAGAUUAGGAAAAGAAGAUCAUGGUAGUGAUUUGAGAUUAUCCUCCAUCUUAUAAUUCCACCAUUUCAUCCAAUUAACUUGAGACUCAAAAGGUAAAAGUUAAUCUUUGAUUUGGGAUAAGGUUUAGUAAGGUGAUACUCUGAGACUCAAAAGGUAAAGAGUGAAAUUCAUUAAAUGCGUUCACAAGACAGUUAGUGAUACAUAACUUAUCAAAUUCUGCAUGCAAGAUAUUGGGUUAGUUCAAUGGAGCACAAUAAACCUACAGAGCUAUGAAGGCAGGGGAAUAUAUUCCUUGUGUUCGUUUCAAAUAUUUUACAACCAAGAGCAUUUGAGUUUUGUUACUCUCUAUGGAUUAUAAAAAUUCCUCCCGUUUAAUUUUCUGCACUGUCGGUGAUUUUAGCAAGUUGUGAAAUAGUUCUAACCUAUUCCCAAUGGAUAUUAUACUUCUAAUGAGGUGUAGUUUUGGGGGACAUCAAAAUUUUGGUGUCGUUGUCGAGAAAUACUGUUGUGAUUUACUGAUUGAAGUUGUUGAAGUUUUUGAGUUUUAUUUUUUUGUUCUUAUGGGGGCAUACUCUAAUGUUUUCCUAGCACAAGGAUUCAAGGCAAUCCCUUACUCUCAAUUAAUCCUGAAUUUGAAAGAGUCCUAUAGCCGAAUUGAAGGAUAUUAGAAUAUGGAUGAAAAGGUGAGCUUGGAGGGGUUCAGAAUAACCCAAAUAAUUUGUCUCCCCUUCCACCUGGUAGAAGACUAUAGAUUAAACUAUUGAUAGGUUAUUAGCAAAAUCUAAUGUGGCUAAGAAUAAUAACGCUCGUCGUAUAGCUUAUGAGGUAGAGUUGGCAAGUCACGGAUAAAGAAUUAAUCAUCGAGCAAAACUUAAUGGAAAUCAAGAUAGAGGUAGAAGGGUAAAGCUCAAGUACUCCCAUCCUACCAGUACUUCCCACUAUAUGAUGAACCGGUAGAAGACUUGGGAUACGUUGAGCCUACUGAGACAAGAGUUAUUAUUUCUUCUAUAAUGCCAUUGAAUGUGAAGUUUGAUAUCACUAGUGCCAUGUCCAGCUGUUGAAUCAAAAUGGAGUGUUUGCGGGCUUGCCAACUGAUGAUGUAAACACGCACAUUAUAAAUUUUAUUGGGAUUUGCACAUCAUACACUAUAUCAAGGGUAGAUUAAGAAGCUCUAAGGCUCAAUUUGUUCCUUUUCUCUCUAAUAGGUGAAGCAACAUUAUUGUUAGGGGAACUUGCUCGUGGGUCUAUUACUACUUGGAAUGAGUUGCCGAGGCAAUUUUUAGAUUCUUUAAUUCCCUUAUCCAGAAUUCUACGAUUGAAGGAAGAGAUGUAUAAUUUCAAGCGGUUAUACUCUAAAUCAAUGUACGAGAUAUGGUUUUGAUUUAAGAAGAAGUUGAUAAUGGUGCCGAAUCAUAAAAUUACAGGAAACUUAAUUGAGAUAAUAUAUGGAGCCCUUAACACCAGUUCUAAAGCUAUGGCAGAUACUAUUACUGGUGGAGCAUUUACGUGUCUGAAUUGAAAGGCAGAGAGAGGCACUGACACUUACGCUAUUGGGUCUUCCAGUGAACACAGAGUUGCUGAUGACACCGUGGAGCAAGAGUUUGCUUAGAUAAGGACAGAAGUUGGGUUAUUAAGAAAGCAGUUCACAGCAAUGAAUUUUGAAAAGGUGAGUAAAGUUGGUACAUAGGGAAAGGCCUCUAGAUAAUAUGAUUUUGAUUUAGAAGAAAAGGCAAAAUAUCUAGAUAGAGGGUUGGUGGGUUUUUUAGCCAAGGAAAAAGGGAACCAAGGUCAAAAUUACUAUAGGGAUUGGAAUAAAGAUCAUACCCGAGAGAGGACAGUGACUGAAGAUGCAAAGAUGAUUACAAAUUAAAGUGUGAUGUAUAUGUUCCACCAGGCAGUCGUGAUAGUUAAUCAAGGAUGGAAGUUACAUUGUAAAGCUAGUAAAGGGUCAAGAAAAUCAAGAAAAUUGCCUUAAGGAGAUUAAGGUAGAAAUUUUAGGGUUGACCUAGAAGGUAGAAUCAUAUGCCACUAUAAUCAAGCAAUUACAGCAGCAGUUCGGACAAAUGCUAGAGAUCUUCAAUCAACGAAAAUCGGGCACCCUUCCAAGCAAUACAGUGCAAAAUCCUAAGAAGAAUGGUCACUGUUUAUCCAUCACCACUCAAAGUGGUAAGGCAACUAUUUAUUCCCUUAUGCCUGUGGUUUAUGAGUCAAGGAAUGAUAGUGUUGAUGUCGAUGAACACCUCAAGUAGAAUUAGAGAAGUUGGUGUAAUGGCCCUCUAGGUUAUUUCCUUAAUUUGCAUGAUUUUUUGGAAUUUUGAGCUUUCCUACAGCAGUUAUAGAUUAUUUAUAACUUGUCGGAACUAUCAGUUUAGUUAUCAGACAGUUCAUUUAGAUUUUAGGCUCAUUUCCAUGUUUUAGAGCUUUUGUUAUUUAGGAUUUGGUGUGAAACCAAAACUCCUAGUAUAUAGCCUUAUACGAGAAUUUCAAUAGAUUCAUCAGCUCAAAAACAUUGAUUUUAGGCCAGGUGGCUUCUUGGUUCAGGUCUCAAGGCACCUGGGCUUAUUUGACCUAUUGGUCAAAAAGUUAAAAAAUCAAAAAUUGGGUGUGAGACCCAUAUUUCAUCAAAAUAAACCUAGAUAGAAAUUUUGAAUAUGCCAUUGAGUUUGAAACAUUGAAUUUGGUGUGAUUACAUAGUUUGUUUGCGUUUACGGGAUUCCUUAUGAAUCCCAAGGGCUUGGCAGAGACUUGAAAAAUUCUAAGUCUACUAUUGUAUCUGGUGCAUUGCAAUCGCGAGCCAAAGGUUUCAAUCUUGAUACCCUUUGAAGGCCCCAAGCUUUACGAUCAGGAUUCACUGGUGUAGCCAUAAGAUGUGGCUAUUGCGAAUAUUGGGUCGGGAUUGCGAGACCUAAAAGCCUGGUAUGAAAAUAAAUACCCCAUUUCAGUCUGUUUUUACCAUUUUCUUAUCCAUUUCAGAGAGAACUAAAUCCUAGAAGUUGAGAGAUCUUGGGAUUCAAGUUUGUAGAUGAUUUGGAGAUCUUGGUUAUCGAUUAUUUCAUGAUUUUCCUUCGAAAUCAUGGUAAGAUUCUUACAAUUUUUUGAUAAAUUCUUAGAAAUUAGGGAUUUGAAUUUUAAACUUUAAGGGUUGAUUUGAUACCCGAUUUGUGCUUUGUUUGUGCUCAACUUUUGAAAACAGCAUCCUUGUCCUUCAAGGUACCUCAUGGUGGUCCUGUGGGCCUAUUCUUGACCAAAAAUUUGACCUGACCUUUUAUAUAGAAAUAUGGGUCUAUUUUGACUUCUAAUGAUGCUUAUAUUAUUAUUUUGAUAGCUUUAUUGAAUUUUGAGAUCGUGGAGUAAAGAUAGAUAUUUUAUGGAUAAUUUAAUAAUUUACGGCUUGGCUUCGAGGUAGGCUUAUGUCUACUCUUCUUUACAAGAUUAUGUGUUUUAUAUACUGCAUGUGAAUAUGAAUGUUAAGAUUGAUUAUGGGUAGAACACCAUGACUUAGUCUUGAUUAUUGAGGUUUGAGGAUUAGAUAGGUGAAUUGACUCGUACGAUAAAAUGCUUAUUUCUCUUUUAGGAUCAUAUUGCUUUAUUCAUAGAUUAAGCUAAUUUAUAGAAUGAUUGUGCUAUUAUGUAAGAUUAGGAAUAUAGCUUAAGUGUUGGAAGAGUGAUUAGUAUGAAUAUCCUUAUGUGAACUAUUUAGCAACCUUCAAAUCGUAAUUUAUGUGGAGUUGACUAAAUUGCUCAUGUGCUAGGUGGAAUUCCUAUCUUAGGGAUAAUUAUGGCUUAUGUACCAUCCAAAAGUCAAUUUACAUAUCUCUUCCUAGUCCGAGGUAUAAAUUGCCUAAAUAUGGAAUUCAAGAAUUAGAAGUGGAUUCUUUCAGCCCACCUUAGGCCAAGACUUGUGUUAGCUCUUGUGGACUUAUUUAUGCAUGUAAGACAUAGUCGAGAUUAUUGAGCCUUUAGUAUAAGGUUACUUCAUGACUUAGUGAAUGAUGAUGGUUUUUCCAAAUUAUGAUUAAUGGCUUGUAGCUAUAAUAGGACUUUCGAACUUGAUUUAUGAUAUGGCCUAUUGACAUGCUUAAUAAUAUAGGCGUAGACAUAGUUAAGAUAUGGCCUAUAGAUAUGAGAUGCCUUAUAGAUAUGAUAUACCUCAUAGUAAAGAUAUAUGGCCUAUAUAUAUAAGAUACCUUAUAGAUAUGAUAUGCCUCAUAGUUAUGAUAUAUGGCCUAUAGCUAUGAGAUGUUUUAGAGAUAUGAUAUGCAUUAGUUAUGAUAGAUGGCCUAUAGGUAUGAUAUGCCUCAUAGUUAUGAUAUAUAACCUAUAGAUAUAAGAUGUCUUAUAGAUAUGAUAUGCCUCAUAGUUAUAAUAUAUGGCCUAUAGAUAUGAGAUUUCUUAUAGACAUGAUAUUCCUCGUAGUUAUGAUAUAUGGCCUAUAAAUAUGAGAUAACUUAUAGACAUGAUAUGCCUUAUGGAUAUAAUAUGGCUUAUAGAUAUGAUACGCCUCAUAGAUAUCAUAUGGCUUAUAGAUAUGAGUCGCCUUACAGAUAUGAUUAUUGAUAUAAGUUUCGGAUAUGUAUGUGGGCCUAGGGUUGUGAUUAUGAUGUUGUAAUUAUUCCAAACACAUUAUUGGGCCCAAGUUCAUGUUAUGAUUUUUGUUGGACAUCUGGAAAGUGUUUAUCCUUGUAAAGGAUGUGGCUAUAGUUUAUAGUUAUAUUGAUGCUUAUGGUUCCAUUGUUUGAAUACUGGUGAUGGAAUGCAUAGAUUUGAUAUAUUCAUGAUCAUUAAAUCAGUAAAUCACACGAUUCCAACUAAAAUAUGAUUUUAUUAUGAUUUUUCAUAAAUAGGGGUUAAAACCCACUUUUCACAUUAAAGUGGACUUCGUCAUAAAAAUAAUUGCACCAUUUUAAUGAAUAACCUAUGUGUAAUGAGAUUUGGAAAUAAUGUUUAAAAGAUUUGAUAGAGAUAAAUUCUAAUCAAUGAUUCUGAUACUAUUAUUUACUUCGAUCGAGAGAAAUUCUGAAUCUUUCUACACUUUUGUAAUGAUUGAGUCCCAAAGUUUAUCCCAGGCAAUGGAUUUAUGGAUUUACACUCUUUUUAUCCACAUCUUAAGUCUGUGCACCUAUAUAUAUCUAUAUACACAUCUCUUCGAUAUGGGACAGAGGAGGAGAAUGGUAUUGAUGAUAUGAAUUUUGAGUAAAACUUGAUGAUAAAUUAUAGUAUUGAUCUUAUAAAUAUAUGUGUGUGUGUUAAUGUUAUGCUUAUAGACCCGGCACGGCCAGAGGAUGAUUAUGAUGAUAUGUUAUAUGCCCGGCAAGGCCGAAGGAUGAUUAUGAUGAUAUGCUUAUAUCCCAUCAAGACCAUAGGAUAAUUAUGAUGAUAUUCUUAUAUACCCAGCAAGGCUGUAGGAUGAUCAUGAUGAUAUGAUUAUAUAACCUACAAGGCCAAAAGGUGAUUAUGAUGAUAUACUUAUAUGCCCGACAAGGCUGAAAAAUGAUUAUGAUGAUAUGCUUAUAUGUCCAACAAGGAUGGAAAAUGAUUAUGAUGAUAUGCUUAUAUGCUUGGAAAGGUUGGGGGAUGAUUAUGAUGAUGCAAAUAUUUGUACAUUUACCAGUUUGAGUUUGAGUACUUAUUAUGAUAUUUAGAUUGGUUAUUGUGUUAUAAAUUAUAUCUUAUCAUUAAUUCUUACAUGCGCAUUGUCUAUCACCAGUAUGCACCUAUAUCUAUCAGCCUUAUGGAGGGUUGCAUAGGUAUGGGUGACGAGUAUGACCUGUGUUUUAUUGUAUGUUAAUUGAACCUUCUGAGCCUAGGGCAGCGGAGGUUUGUAAAAGGCUCGGUUAGGUAUUAUUUGUCUGGACUCGCCGGUUACUCGCAUUGUUAUUGCUAUUAUUAUUACUAUUGUUAUGACUGUUUGGGUAGCUUUGUUAACGAUCCAAUACUGAGAUAUGAGGUAUGAUUCUAGCUCUUUCAUCAUACAAUUAUGUAAUUUUUCAUGAUUUACUCAUGAUUAGAUGUAUGGAUUAAAAACCCUGAGUACGCUAGCACUAGUUGCUGUUGUGAUUAUGAGGUCUUAAGAUGUUAGUCUAAUGAUUUAAGUUGUACCUUAAAAUGACCUUGUUUAUAUAUAUAUGUAUAUCUAUUUAUAUGUAUCUAUGGUAUUAGCAUAUAUCCCUCUCUUUCUUUACUUAUUCAAAUUGUAUAUUAAUUUCUUGGCCUUGUAUAUUGUUAUAUAUCUUUUUUUGCCUCUAUUUAUAUUUUGGCUAGUGAUAUACAGUAUAGUGUUGAGACUCCUGAGUAUGGCUGGAAUAGGUAGCCCAUCCUUAAUACUUCCUCAGCCUUAUUAAGUUAGUUUCUUGGAUAUGAGUAGGGUAGUUUGCCCUUACUAUAUCACAAGAUAUAUUAUAUGGUUGCUGAACAUUUGGGUUUAGACUCCAUUUCUAUUUAUAUAUUGUAUAUAUCUGCAUUAUCUUUGGAGCUCAAUAGGCAGUUGCCUACUGAGUACCACGUAUUUGGUACUCAUACUACAUUUUUGCAACCUGUAGAUCAUAGUACGAGUUAUCAUUAGUGUUGUGUGCAUCGUGCGGAGUAGCCAUGGUUAGGAGACAUAGUGUGAUCUUCUAAUGUUUAGAGUAUUAGCUUCCUCCGUCUUAUGUACUAAACAAGUCUCUAUGUUGUAUUCAGAGAUGGUUGUAUUUGUAUAUUCAUUUAGUACCUCAUUUAUAUCCUCAUUGAUAGUAGAAGCUCUUGUACUAAUUUCACUAGUUUUUCAUUUUAUCUUAUUAUGUUAGUCUUUUAUUGCAUCUAUUCCAUAUUCUCCUUAUUUUUUUAGUAGGCCGUUACUAGUAGUUCUGGACUACGGGGUUGGCUUGCCUACUGGUGGGUCAUAUUAGGCACCAUCAUGACCUAAGAAAUUAGGUCGUGACAAUUGGUGACUAAUGCUGAGUCAUUACAACUAUUAAUAGGUGGUGAUCAUAGUACUGAGGAGGAUGAAGGUUAGGGAAAGGUCGAUGAACCAAUAGUGAAGACUAUUCCAUGACCUCCCCCAUCUUUUCCUCAUAUGUUGAAUUAGAAAAAAAAAAAGGGGAGUUCAAAAAGUUUAUUUCUAUGUUAAAUUAAUUUAGUUUGAAUAUCUAUCUUCUUGAAGCUCUCGAGUAGAUGCCUGAGUAAGCAAAAUUUAUGAAAGAUUUGAUGACAAAGAAGUGAGUUGUUAGUUAUUAGAAUCUUGGUGGGUUAUAUCAUUGUAGUGUGAUUACUUCAUGAUCUCUAGAGCAAAAGAAGAGUGAUCUUGGAGCAUUCAUGAUCCCAUGCACCAUUAGAACAUCUAGAUUUGCCAAAGCAUUGUAUGACUUGGGUGUCAGCAUUAACUUGAUAUCGUUGGAUCUGUUCAAAUAGUUGGACUUGAGACCUUCUAAAACAACAGUGAUGAAGUUGUUAAUGGUGGACCGCAUAAUGAAAAAUCCCGUAGGCAGAUCAUUUGAUGUAAUGGUGAAAGUAGAAAACUUCAUCUUUUCAGCUGAAUUUGUUAUUUUAGAUUGUAAAGUUAACUUUGAGAUUCCCAUAAUCUUGGGAAGACCAUUUUUUGCCAUGGCUAGAGAAUUACGGUAUAUGGAGAAGGGGGAGCUUAAGUUUAGGUUGAAUGAUGAGGAUGUCACCUUCAAUAUUCACAAAAUCAUGAGGCAACCGACUGACAUGAGGGUGGACUCAGUAAUAAAUUGUGCUAAUGACCCUAGAGGCCACUUCUAUGGUUACCUUGAGGAAUCUGAGUAACCAAGGUACCCGCGUCGUGCUGCGACGUUAAAUCAAGCGUUGCAUAGGAGGUAACCCAUGGACUUGUUGAUGAAGUCUUAGUAACCAUCAUAGCCAUGUCGUGCCGUGACGUUAAAUCAAGCACUGGGUGGGAAGCAACCCACUAUUUUAGAGUUCAUGCUGUUUUUCUUUUUUAUAGGUGUACAACAUAAGGAACAACCUAGAACAUGGUAAAACAUUGCUAAAUUCAGUAAAUUCCAGGUAAGGAGACUUAUUGACCCACCUAUGGGGGUCAUAAGCCCCACUUGGACCAGGUAAGUUGUGCAAUAAAUGUUAGAUGGAAAUUUGGAGAAAUUUUUAGGUCUUUUAACUUUUACCUAAGAACCUACUUAUGAUGUUGUAAAUACCACUUGCAACCUCGUAAGUGGUGUCUUAGAUGUCAUAACACAAAUUUUAGAGGACCAGAAAAAAACCUGCUACCUACGCCCUGCCACCUACGGGCCGUAGGUAGCAAUUAUGGAUCGUAAGUGGCUCCAUAGGUGGCAGUAUUUAUGGGCCCAAUUUUAAAAAAAAAUUACGCCUACCUUGACCUAACUCUACCCAAAAUUGGCCUACCAACCAUUUUAAAAGCUCAGAAACCGGUUCAUUAGCCUUAUAAUCCUCAAAUUUCCAACUCCCUCCAAAAUUUAAACUCACCAACUUCCUCUCAAAUUCUAUAAAAAGAAAGACUCAUCCCUCAAUCCAUCAUUUGGCGUAAACACUUUCCAAUGCUAGGGUUUCAACACUUCUUCAAAUUUAUACCUCCAUUUCUUAAAAUCAAAGGUAAAUUUCUUGGCUCCCAUUAGUAAAUUCUUGUGCUUAAUUAAAAGUAAGUCAGUUGGUAUGCGUAUUUGCUUGCAAAUUAUGUAAAAAUCAACAAACUUAUAGUUAGGAUCCUAGAAUAAUCAAGAAGUUGAAAUGGGGCAUCUCUCUUGAAUUAAAACUAUGUGAUCAUUCCUCAAAUAUAAGUAGAAGUUGAAAAGGUUGAGGAAACCCAAAAGUCUUGUGUGCCAUACCUUUGUUUUGAUAAUUAUUUCCAGUUGUGUGUGAAAAAUUGGACUAAAAUAUGCUGAUUACACUAUAUAGGGAUGUAAAAUUUGGGAAAAAUACAAAGUUUGACAAUUUUGAUUUUUUUUAAUUUUAAACUCUCUUAUCUUUUUUCCAGCACUAAUACUUGCUUUUUCAGGUACUGUGGCACCAAAGGCUCCGAUAAAGAUGGCAGGGAAGUCAAGACAUUGGGAUGAUUCCCUUGAGAGUAGUGGCUUAAUGGAGGAGUACCCGAUUGUCCCAGACAAACCAACAGCCCCACAGACUAGGAACCAGAGAUAGGCUGCAGCUGAGUUUAUUAUUGUAUCCACCCUGGGUAUUAGCUACUAGAAUGAACAUAUUGGGGCACUCAACCCGAAUCUACAUAGGAUAAAUCCCCAUGCAGCUUCUCUUCUACAAGUUCUUAGGCCAAGUAUGAAUUCAUCCAGUACUUCACCCCCCAUAUUCUCCCCAGUCUAAAGAGGAAGGAGAGGUUUUAAAGCUGGAGGGUGAGUUUGAUUCAGCAGAGGAGGUGACUAUACAAGACCUCCAGUCUGAGGAGGGGUUACAAUAUAAGUCCACAACAGCAGCUAUGGAGUCAUCUUCGAUAGUACCCCAGUUUGAGGAGGGUACAACUCAGGUAUCACAUCAGGCUCCCUCAACUCCAGAACCAUCCAUAGAGCAUCAUGCACAGGAUCCUCAGCCUCUCAGUUCAACAAAUAUUGACUCAUCUUUUGAUUCUACACACACCUCGAUUGUGCCUAUUAUUAAGGUAAAAAUGAGGUGGUAUGUUGUAAGGAUACCGAUAAUUUAUGAGUUUAAUAGCUUAAUUACUGAGGAAGGUCAACCUACAAGGUCUAUUUGGGAUGAGAGGAUAAUUGAGUUAAUAGAGGUAGUAAAAGCACCAAACCUGAGUUAGCAGAGAUAGCAAGAGCACCAAACUUGGGGAUCGCAUUUGAUUAAUAUCAGCUGAGGUGGAUAACUAGACCCUAAGGUUUUUAUAGUUAGGCGGUGGUCCACGAGUUUGUAAUACCCUAAACUUUAAAGCUUUAGACCCCCUUAAAAGAUAGGCCACAAAGUUAUCUUUCCAAUGCUUCAAGUCUCGCCUUAAUCGUUUGUCAUGGCAAAGAGUUGUGGAAAGUUUCCCCUAAGGACCUAAUACACUGCUAUGACUAUGACAUAGUAAAUGAGUCGUAACCACUCACGAUGAGUCAUCACGAGUGAUUCAUAGUCAUAGCAGUGUGUAACCAAGAUUUCCUCCAGUGGUUACGAGCUGUUGUGUGGACCCAUAACCUGACCAGUAAAGGAUCCAAGAAUCAAGCCUCAGACUGUGACUUCACCCAAUGACUCACAGUCAGUCGUAAUGAGUCAUUAGGAGGAAAGUCCUAUUCAUACUAGAAUGCAUCCAGAAUCCUAAUAUCCUAGGUUGUGACUCAUACAAUGACUCGUAACUAGUCGUGAGGUGAGUCGUAACAACUGGGAAUGUGUUUUGCUGCAUAUUUUUUCAGGGACUUUUAUGUCUUUUCCUACUCCCUUACAAGCCAAACCAAUGUUGUUUUGGCUUCUCAAGGGGAGGUAUAAAAGAUCCAAAGCCCCAAAUUCAUAACAUAAUUUUCAAUUCCACUCAAGCAAAUCAAGAGAGGUGAUUUUCUUUCUCUUUCAAGAGCAAGUUAGGGUUUCUCAAAGAACAAGACAAAUCUCAAGGAUUUCAUCCAAUCUUUUACUUUAGGUUUAUGGGAUAUUCAUCAAUAGGUUCCUUCCACCCAUUGAGUUCUAAUAAUUUAUUAUUUUACAAGUAUAAACCUUUUUUCCCUAAUUGGUGAAAUUUCAUAUUGAUGAUGAAUUCCAUAAAAUUUUCCCUCAAUUGUCUUGAUUCUAAACCAUGAUAAUAUAUUCCCUCUUGAUAAUGGUGCUACCAUAUGUUUGAUAAUGCAAAUGCCCACUUCAUGAAUUGUUAUUGAAAUAUAGGGUGUUAUUCAUAAUUUUCCCAUACUAUGAAUUAUUCAAUAAUUGCCAAGAGUAUUUUACAAUCGAGAGUGUUAGUGGGUUAUGAACACCCGAUAGUUAUAUAGUCAUGCGUGUUAUAAGUUUCCAAGUUACAAGUCAUCCAGAUUAUGUUUAUGUUAUUAUAUUUAUAUUAUUAUCAUGUUGAGCAUUUAACAGUUAAAUCAUGUUAAACUUUCAUUAGUAUUAGUAUCAAUUUAGUUGGGAGUAAAACUCAGCACUAAAUGAACCUAGGGAUGAAGGCUUACAUUCCAGCUUAGGGUGAGGCAUUUAGUAGUAGUCCCUAAGUUCCAAAACUACAUAGCCAGUGUAGGUUAUGAGAGGCCUUCCUACCAGUAUAGAGUUGACACUCUCUUCAGGGUACUUGCCAGUUUAGGGUGACUCUACAGUCCUUCAGGACACUAGUUUAGUGGAUCCACACAGCCAGUGUCAGUACCCAUGGCAAGGUACUGACACCCUUCCAACUAAGGUUAUAGGUCAGACCAUGAUUAGCUUAGAUUGGGUCAUGUCGAUUAAAUGUUAGCUCCCAUAGUUUUAGUUCAGUAUUCAAAUUAUAUUAGUUCAGGUUUGCAUGACCGAUUAUUCAGUUUAUCAAUUGUUUAGUUGUUCUAUUUAUAGAUUAUUUUGGCACAUGCUUUACUUGGUAUUGCAUUUAUCUUACAUGUUCAUGCAUCUAUGUACAGUACUUAUACGUAUUUAAGUUAGUUCCAGCUCAUAUACCAGUACCUUUAAAGUACUGACUGCAUACUAUUUUUUCUUAGGUUUGAAUGCUCAGUUCCUAGACCACGCGUAGUCCAUUUCGAUAUCAGUUGCAGUAUUGGUAAGUCUUCAUAAGUCGAGGACUAGCUCUAUUAUUUAUCAGUCUUUCCAGUAUUUUAGUUUAUGCUAUUUCAGCAGUCAGAGUUAGUUAUCAUGUUUAGAGGCUCUCAGAUAUUCAGAUAAUUAGUUAUGUUUUCAAUGAUGUGUUUUAGACUUCUAAUAUUGACUUGACUAUUUGGAACUUCUAUUAAAUCAAAUUUUUCAUAGUAUUUUGAUACUUUCUUCUAGUAAUUACAAUUUUUCCAGUUCAUGGGUUAGCUUAAGGUCAUAUAUGGUCUUAGGCAUUAUGUUACGACUAGGGGAUAGUACCGAUUCAUGAUAGAUUUCCACGUGUCUUAUGUCGCCACAGUUGAUUUGACCACUCCUAGAGGCAGAAGAGGCACAGCACAGCCCAAGCUAGAGUCUACUUUGGUAAGAGGGGUUAAGGUUUAUCUUUCAGCGGCAGCCAUCCACUGAGUUUUUUAGGCCUGAUUAUGUAGCCCCGGUAUCUACUGCUAAGUGUGACCACAGGCUAAUAUUUACGCAGGAUAGAAAAGAAAUGAGGGAUGCAUAUCAUAGGAAACGGAGACUAGAUUUUUCAAGAUAGAUUACAAACUUGAUUUCUAAUUUGGGAGAUAACGCCUCCUGAAUUUAGGGAAAGGGGGAGAUUAAGAAGGAAACACUGAAUUUUGUCAUGAAGUUUUUCUGGACCGUGGUUCAUUUUUUAUUAUGUUCAAAUAUUGUAGACAAUCUAUUAACAUAAGACUGAGUUGCAUUGAUCAUGAGUUUGAUAGAAGGUUAUGAGAUCGACUUUGCAAUUUUUACCAGGUAUGAGUUUGCACUACAGAGCAUUUAGGGAUUUAACCAUAAUGCCUUUAUCAUACCUCAUUCAGUAGUUAUGUAUUGAGUUAAGAUUUCCUGAGAUCUUGAAUAUUCAUAGGAGGUUAGAGGUGAUGAGCAUUGUAUAAAUGAGUAUGAUUAAGGAUUCGGCAAACUCAUCCCUUGCCUAAAGAGCUCAUGCACCUCCGAUAGUGAUUUUGACCCAGUCUGAUAGAACCUCAAUUCUGGUAAAUCAUGUUGAUCGGACGAAUAUGGAUGUUGAUGAUGCAAGAGUUUACUUUGAGUUUGAGAUAGGUGAGCAUAGAGAUGUACCCAAGAUGAGUACUUAGAGAGAAAGGCCUAGCCACUUUACUUUAGCCUUGGCUUUUUCUUUUAAGCCAGUUAGGUCCUAUUUUGUGUAUCCUCAUCCUACUACUAUAGCUCCUGCCACAGGUUUGAUAGCAAUGCCAUAGAAGUUUUUACAGCUCAUAGUAGAGCAUCAGGAUAUAACUAAACCUGCUUGCGGAUGUUGAGACUGAGCUUGCAUCUUUAUAUGGGUAGAUCCAGCCUUGGGUCCUGAUUAUAUUAGAGACUACUAAGACUAGGAUAUAAGCUAAACUCUAGGCUGAGAUAUUAGAGUUCACUAUUGAAUUACAUUAACGCAUUGAUUCUUUGAGAGUCGGUGUCAUCUCGGUUCAGAGAUAUUAUAGCUCUUGACCUAGAUAGGGACUUGGAAGGAGGUAGUCACACUACGAGCAGAGGUAUGGUUUUUUACUGAGAGCUAGAUUCUAUCCACUCCUCUAUUUAUCCAAUUAUUUGCUCAGCCUAUACCUCCGUGCAACCCUAUGUGGUUUAAUUUAUUCAUGAAAAAAGAGGAGAUGAUUCCAGCUAUGGGGACCAAGCAAGAUAGGACAGAGGAUCUACAUGAUCCCUCUAUUCUAUUUUAUAAGGCCAUGAAAUGGGACACCCAUUAUUCUAGGGUGUCCACGAUAGAUGAUGUAGUGUGAUGAUUUUCAAUUACGAUAGAUGUAUCUUAUAGUAGUGCCUCGCGUCCACCCCCACCACCACCAAUCGAGAUACCCCCAAAGGGAGACGGGCAUGAAAUAGAUGCCUAGUGCAUCCUAGGUAUGUCCUCAUUCCCUUGAAUCAUAUUAUUAUCAUACACUAGGGACAAUGCGUAGGCUUUUGGUUAUGGAUGGGGUAUACCACAACCGCUAUGGGUUUUUGUUGUCAUUUUUUUUUCCUAUCGGUCACAAUUUAAUUAUGGAACUAACAUGUCUAGGAAGUAUUGUGUUGUGUUUUUGUGUAACUAGGAGAAAAAUGAGUAUCUAAGAAAGUUGAUGUAUUUUGUUUUGAUGUUUGAGAAAAAAUAUUACCCCUUUGAAAUCCCUUUUUAUAGCAUUAGAAUUAGGGACAUAAUAAUCAUAGCUACGAGUUGCAUGAACCAGAUUGGUAGUAGUCUGUGGUGCAACCCUGUGCCAAUUGUGUGUAGGAUGCUUACUAUGUUCCCUUUGUGUGUUGAAUUUAGAACUUGUCCGGUUAGUCUUGCCUAUGUUGUAGGAUAGUCAGUUAGAAAAGGAUCAUAGGAUGUUCUUAGAAUAAGUCCACUUUAAUCUGAAAUGACCUUCCAAAUAUGAAUAAGUAUCCCUUGAUCCCUAUUUUGAUCCUGUAGAGACUAUUUUUCUUAUUCUUAUUCACCUUUCACCUUCCUAUUUUUAUUAUAAUAAACCUAUUUUAGCCUUGGUCCUCCUUGGAUAUUGUACACCUCAACUUAGGCAAAUUGCCUAAGUUGAGGGCGGUUAUCAUAGGGUUGUGUGAUUUGAAGUGGGUAUGAAGAAGGGUAAAUAAGAGAAAAUAAAGUAGGGUUGGGUGUGGUAGAAAAAUUUGAAAAAAAAGAAAGAAAAAUAGAGGAAAAAGAAAACCACACCUAACCUGAAUGAGUUGUAAAAAAGAGAGAAAUAAGGUUGAAAUAAAAUAAAAUUAGUUGAUAAGUGCAUCUCCUAAUAGAGGUGUAGUGCCAAUGAGGCUUAGUCACUAAAUUCCUUUAUUUACCAUACCAUUCCCUAAGCCUACAUUAUUAGCUGAGUAAUGUCCUAUAGUGAUCCUAACCUGACUAUCUGAAAGUUACGGUAAAGAAAAUAAGGGCAAGCCUAUGGUAUUUUAUGCAUAUUUUUGGAAAUUUUUUGUGAGUAUUAGUGUCUCGUGAUCGUCCCUGUAUUAACAUACAUGAUUCUAUUAAGUGAGUGGGACUUCUUUGUUAUGAGGGUACAUAGGUUGUGCUUCUAGCUGCUUAUUUGGCCGGAUAGUGUAACUUGUACAUAUGCAUGAUUGUUUCCUUAUAAUAUAAUGUUAUAUUUUGAUUACUUUGUGCCAUAUUAGUGUGCUUCAUAUAUACACACAGUUGGUUUUGGUGUUAAAUUUGGAAGAGGGUAAUGUUUUUUAUCUAAAUUUGAUGAUUGACUGCCAUAGGUGUCUUAGGUUUAUCUUGGUUAAGCAUUAUCGUGUUGUUUAUUUGUGUUUUAUUGACUAAGGAUAUGCAAAUGCUCUAAGUUGAAUGUGUUGAUGUGUUAUGGUUUCAUAAAACUUUCAAUGCUUAAAAUUAAGAAAAUAUGUUGUUACUUAGGUCAUUUUGUUAGAUAUGAUAUGUUUUGUGUUGUGUUUUGCAGGAAAUCGGGUUUUGGAAGCUAAACAAGAGAAAAAAAGUGAAAAUUGUAAAGUUUUGUACCACCUACGUGGGUAUCUAUGGCCCAUAGGUAGGUACUACCUACGUGGCAUAGGUGCCAGAACAAGUAUCAAGGAGUUGAUUUUUAGAGAUUCAGAAGUUGAGAUUUAGCCUUGCUACCUAUGAGGUACCUACGGCUUAUAGGUGACACUUAUGGCCCGUAGGUGCCAAAAUAAGUGUCAGAAGUAAGGAUUCAGAGAGAUCCUUCUGAAGUUUUGGAGGUUUUCACCUACGUAAGUCCACUUACGGACUGUAGGUGGGACCUAAGGCUCGUAAGUGGCACAGUAGGUGUCCACCUACUCCAGUUUUCCUCUUUUGUUUUGAAAAGAUUUCC